Molecule: long non-coding RNA, 788 nt
Organism: Mastomys coucha (southern multimammate mouse)
Lineage: Eukaryota; Metazoa; Chordata; Mammalia; Rodentia; Muridae
Exons: 2
Source: RefSeq, a predicted model, not a curated record
GCGUCCGCGCUCUCCCCUGACGUUUCUGAUGUGAAAAAGUAGGCAGUUAAAGCUGUGUUCCAUUCCAGUGUGGCCUUCCCUGGGUUAUGUCAUUUCUCUGUUUUCUAACUAGCUACCUCUAGAGUUACUGUACAGACUUUCCCCAUCCUUUCUCCCUAAUACAAGCUUGCUCAGCCACUCUACGGUGCCCGACCCUUCGCUUUUGUCACACAAAGCCCCCAACUUGCAGUUAGUUUGUCCUGAGACAGAUGAAGGAGCUGAGGGCCCCUUUAACUCAGAGCGCUCUACACAGAUCUUGGGGGCUGGGACAGGAAGUCCCGUUCCCACAAAACGAUCAAAGGAAGCGCACUUUGGCCCUGGGGUUUCUUGGACGGACGGACAGCGAGUUCCCAGAGCCAUCCUAUCCAUGACUGCUGCCUCUCCAGCUUCUCCACUAGAGGCUGUCUCUGUCCUCUCUGCUAACGCCCGGAACUGCUCUCCCGGUUCAAGGUCCCCGAGAUACUUUCUGUGGAGAUACCAAGCAAAAAGUGACCCCGACAAUGGCCAUCUGUUAAUAAAAGCCCUUUCUCAACGGGAGGCGCCACAGAGAGAAACCUUGCCACCUUUAUGCUUUCCUGAUUGGUUUCAACUGCACUCAGUCGAUGUCUAUACUUCUGCCAAAGAUGGCGAUUACUGUAACACACACUGUAAUCUGUAACAGUACUUUCCAGUGAUGGGAAGUAUGGAUGCUCGUUAUGGUCUCUCUUUAUAUUUUCUGUGUGUUUUAAAAAGUGUUUUAAAAAUCCAUA